UGCCCGGCCGUGGUGGCGCACACCGGUAGGAUUACGCUGAACACGCAGAGGCAGGAGGAUCACGAGUUCGAGGCCAGCCGGGUCUACAUGGCGACUUCCCUUUUUUUU
Molecule: small nuclear RNA, 108 nt
Filed under: Spalax microphthalmus (greater blind mole rat)
Lineage: Eukaryota; Metazoa; Chordata; Mammalia; Rodentia; Spalacidae
Description: 4.5S RNA(H)
Source: RNAcentral